AUGACGCCACUCUCGACAAACCUGAAGGGGAGCUUGAUGCUCAACAGGCACAAGCCUUUCAGAAAAUGGAUACUCUGUUUAAGGCUGCUCUCUUUGAGUGUUCUUGGUGAGAACAUAGUUGCUGCUUAUGCGUCAAUUGAUAUUGUAAAAGAUAUGUGGGAUGCACUCGAGGCCAAGUUUGGGGUCUCGGAUGCUGGCACUGAGUUGUACAUCAUGGAGCAAUUCUAUAACUACAGGAUGACUGAAGAGCGCUCCAUGGUUGAGCAAGCUCAUGAGAUACAGUCAUUUGCUAGAGAACUUGAGCACUACGGUUGUAUGCUACCGGACAAGUUUGUUGCCGGAGGUAUCAUCACUAAGCUUCCUCCUUCAUGGAGGAACUUUGCUACCUUGCUGAAGCAUAAGAGACAAGAGUUUUCCGUCCCGGAUCUCAUUGGCACUCUUGAUGUGGAAGAAACGACGAGAGCAAAGGACACACGUGCUCGAGGUAUUGAG
RNAcentral lists this ribosomal RNA (492 nucleotides) under Triticum aestivum (bread wheat). Its description in RNAcentral is "partial small subunit ribosomal RNA". Lineage: Eukaryota; Viridiplantae; Streptophyta; Magnoliopsida; Poales; Poaceae. The record is from RNAcentral.